CUGCUGUUAUACAGAAAGAAAAGAUAUAGGAGUGGAAAGCCUAUAUUAUGACGGUACUGUAUCAGAAAGUGACGGCAAACUAUGUGCCAGCAGCCGCGGUAAUACAUAGGUCACAAGCGUUAUCCGAAAUUAUUGGGCGUAAAGCGUCCGUAGGUUGUUUGUUAAGUCUGGAGUUAAAGACCGGUGCUCAACGCCGGCACGCUUUAGAUACUGGCAAACUAGAGUUAUAAAGAGGUAAGUGGAAUUUCAUGUGAAGCGGUGGAAUGCGUAGAUAUAUGAAAGAACACCAAUGGCGAAGGCAGCUUACUGGUUAUAUACUGACACUGAGGGACGAGAGCGUGGGGAGCAAACAGGAUUAGAUACCCUGGUAGUCCACGCCGUAAACGAUGAUCAUUAGUUGGUGGGGGAACCCUCGCUAACGCAGCUAACGCAUUAAAUGAUCCGCCUGAGUAGUAUGCUCGCAAGAGUGAAACUUAAAGGAAUUGACGGGGACCCGCACAAGCGGUGGAGCAUGUGGUUUAAUUUGACGAUACGCGUAGAACCUUACCCACUCUUGACAUCCCUUGCAAAGCUAUAGAGAUAUAGUGGAGGUUAACAAGGUGACAGAUGGUGCAUGGUUGUCGUCAGCUCGUGUCGUGAGAUGUUCGGUUAAGUCCUGCAACGAGCGCAACCCCUAUCCUUAUUUACUAACAUUAAGUUGAGAACUAUACGGAUACUGCUCAGGUAACUGGGAGGAAGGUGGGGAUGACGUCAAAUCAUCAUGCCUCUUACGAGUGGGGCAACACACGUGCUACAAUGGCCGGUACAAAGAGACGCAAUAUGGUGACAUGGAGCAAAUCUGAAAAACCGGUCUCAGUUCGGAUUGAAGGCUGCAAUUCGCCUUCAUGAAGUCGGAAUCGCUAGUAAUCGUAGAUCAGCUACGCUACGGUGAAUACGUUCUCGGGUCUUGUACACACCGCCCGUCACACCAUGGGAGCCGGUAAUGCCCAAAGUC
RNAcentral lists this ribosomal RNA (994 nucleotides) under Mycoplasma sp. SS_2. Its description in RNAcentral is "bacterial SSU rRNA". It matches the Rfam family "Bacterial small subunit ribosomal RNA", at positions 430 to 1428 of the family's 1533-position model. The record is from RNAcentral. Lineage: Bacteria; Bacillati; Mycoplasmatota; Mollicutes; Mycoplasmatales; Mycoplasmataceae.